Small nucleolar RNA from Rattus norvegicus (Norway rat), 137 nucleotides. Ensembl annotates it as small nucleolar RNA SNORA17. The record is from Ensembl. Lineage: Eukaryota; Metazoa; Chordata; Mammalia; Rodentia; Muridae.
CUUGUCCCUAGAGGCACUGCAGGUGUGGCUUCGGUGUCACACGUGCAUCGGUAGAUGGCAGAGAACUGAGAGGCCAUGUCUACACUCAGUGCUCUGACCUGUGAACAACCCUGACAAAAGUCAUAGUACCUGAGAUG